GACGAACGCUGGCGGCGUGCUUAACACAUGCAAGUCGAACGGAAAGGCCCCAGCUUGCUGGGGUACUCGAGUGGCGAACGGGUGAGUAACACGUGGGUGAUCUGCCCUGCACUCUGGGAUAAGCCCGGGAAACUGGGUCUAAUACCGGAUAGGACCGUGCUUUAGUGUGUGCGGUGGAAAGUUUUUCGGUGCAGGAUGAGCCCGCGGCCUAUCAGCUUGUUGGUGGGGUAAUGGCCUACCAAGGCGGCGACGGGUAGCCGGCCUGAGAGGGUGUACGGCCACAUUGGGACUGAGACACGGCCCAGACUCCUACGGGAGGCAGCAGUGGGGAAUAUUGCACAAUGGGCGCAAGCCUGAUGCAGCGACGCCGCGUGGGGGAUGACGGCCUUCGGGUUGUAAACCCCUUUCGGCAGGGACGAAGCUUUUGUGACGGUACCUGCAUAAGAAGCACCGGCUAACUACGUG
This 465-nucleotide ribosomal RNA is filed under the name uncultured bacterium. Its description in RNAcentral is "partial 16S ribosomal RNA". It matches the Rfam family "Bacterial small subunit ribosomal RNA", at positions 28 to 507 of the family's 1533-position model. The record is from RNAcentral.